RNAcentral lists this non-coding RNA (30 nucleotides) under Mus musculus (house mouse). The record is from RNAcentral. Lineage: Eukaryota; Metazoa; Chordata; Mammalia; Rodentia; Muridae.
UGAUGAAGCCAGUCAGAACACCCAGAGCCC